Molecule: long non-coding RNA, 3694 nt
Filed under: Salmo salar (Atlantic salmon)
Lineage: Eukaryota; Metazoa; Chordata; Actinopteri; Salmoniformes; Salmonidae
Description: lncRNA (ENSSSAG00000112497.1)
Rfam family: UnaL2 LINE 3' element (bases 972-1025)
Source: RNAcentral
UCCUAUUUGGGUUUUUAUUGAGAUUAAAAAAACAUCAACAAAUAAAACAAAUAUUGACAUUUCACUUUAUUACAGCAAACUUUCCAAAUAUUUUCUCUGGAACAAAACUCAAACUCACAUUACCCUCAAAUUAAUGUUAGGUGGCUUCACAGACCUAUUUCUAAUUACAGAGAUAGAUGCACUAUGUUUUACAAUAUGUAUGUUUUUAUCUGUAUAGUGCAACUGCAUUGUCAAAAACAUUACAAGAUAAGAACAUUGAAUUAAUCGAAACAGCAUAGGAUAAGAGCAGACCAAGUUGAAAACAUGAAACUGAAAGAAACUUGUUACAGGAACGUGAAAUCAUACAAAUUAUAGAUUUUGCUGUGUACCUCAAUUACGAUUUUUAUAUGACAGAAAUUGCAAAGUUGCAAUGCAGUAUGAACUGAUAUUGUCAUGCACACAAUUCAUUAAAGAAAUUAAUAGCAGGCUAGAAGACAUGUUUAACAUACAUGCAAUCUUGAACAACAUUUACAUACAACUUCGCCCAGUCUGUGAAACCAAGCCAUCCACUUCAGGUGAAAGCCAGGUAAUAAAAAACAUGUAAAAAUAGUUGAUAGCUAACAGAUAAGUCUUAAAAAUAACUAUGAGUAUUGAUGUUUAGUGAAUUACAAGGAUGAUACUAGCUAACAAAAAACCCUCACAGUAGACAAUAACUAUACAUCUUCUGGGAGAUAUCUUAGUGAUGAUUGGAUUGGAAGUUUACAGUUACCGUCUUGACUCCACAAGGUGAAGUAUGCAAUGAAUCAAGUGAAAUAAAGUGCAACUAUGUUUAAUGGCACCGUCCCAAAUGGCACCUUAUUCCCUUUAUAGUGGUCACAUGUGGCUCAGUUGGUAGAGGAUGGUGGUAGAGCAUGGUUUGCAACGCCAGGGUUGUGGGUUUGAUUCCCACGGGGGACCAGUACGAAAAGAAGAAAAAAAAUGUAUGAAAUGUAUGCAUUCACUACUGUAAGUCGCUCUGGAUAACAGCGUCUGCUAAAUGACUAAAAUGUAAUAGUGCUCUACUUUUGACCAGGGUCCGUAGGCUCUGGUCAAAGUAGUGCACUUUAUAGGGAAGAGGGUGCCAUGACAGUGACACUAACAAAAUCUGUAUCGAAACAAAGAUAGCUGGGAAGAAGUUGUUACAUUCAAAGCUUUGGCAAUUAAGAGAAAUAAAAUUACAAGACAUUAGCAUUUUGAAAAUUGCAGACCCUCAGGAGAGAUAAGACAACAAUUAAAAGUAUGUUAUUUAUUUAUUACAAGAAACAAAACACUGAUUUAACCCAUUUUAGCUUCUUAUUUACCUAUAUGAGUAAAUAGACAAUUGAUUCAUACAUUCAUGAUCUUUCCCACAUUGUAACAUUUUGGAUGGAGAUGAAGGAACAUCUCGGUAAAAGCUCAAUGAGAAUAUCAUGACCAAAAGGAUGCGCAUGGAAUUAGAAACCGUAUCCAAAUGGGAUAAGUCUGCACAGACCAAUAUAUUAACAACUGUCAAUGAAAUUGUCUUCACAUCAUUCAAGCUAUGAAGGGGAAGAAAAAAAAAUGACAUGGUUUCCACAAAGCAUCAAAAAUAAUAGCAAGAGCAAAUAGACACGUAGGUUAAUUGAGAAAACUAAAGAGUUGGGUAAGAGCUAUCCCACUAGUAAAAUGUUAAAAACAUGUCCAUUCAUCCUACAAGAUGCUACUGAUAUUUUGUGUUUCCCGGCAACAAGGUAUGUUGUCUUGUUCAGUCUGCUCCACCUAGGUUCCUUUUACUUUAGAAACCUUUUUGGUUGAGCCAGGCUUCCUGCCUCCGCCUCUUAGAAACAACCCCCACCUUCUUUAUGAGCUGCCGCCACCUUACCAGGUUUGCUAGCCUUGUGACAACCACUGUGUGGUUUUAUUUCCUCUUCAAAUUGGACACAAGUCUUCGUCCUCAUCUCUCUCUGCAUCUUCAUUUUCCUCCUUCUCUGAAUCACAAGUUGUAUAAUCAACUUUCACAGAUGUUCUCCUGCCUCUUCGCCUCUGGGCUUGGAAGGCAGCUUCAUCUAACACAUUUGCUUUACCAUUGGUGCAGCGGUAAAGCUUUACUAUUGGAGAAACAGUGCACCCCUGUUUGGCUGGGGGUGCACUAUUGGACCUAUGCUUCUCUGCUGCUCUCUUGGCUUUGUUUGCUUGUACGGAGCCUAAGGGGCGGCCCCUCUUUUGCGGGGAACCAUCUAUAACGGGUGGCUUGGAAACUUUAGAGGUUGGAGGUGGGUUCUUCCGUAAGUGGGCACCUCUCCCCAUUGUUGCCUUGCGUGGACGGCCUCUUGCCCGUGGCUCAGCAGAGGUGGCUGGGGGAUCCAUGUAGGGGUGGAUGCGCGGCCUUCCGAGAGGCUUCCACACUCUUGAUCCCUUAGGUUGGCUUUUCAGUUUCUUUCUCUCUUCUUCCUCCUCGGUUGGUAGCGGGUUCUUCCUCGGCCUACCCAUUUUUUUUGUUUGUUUAACAUUUUGGGGCCGGCCAUGCUUCAGAGGUGCAGUUGGCUCUGCUGAAACAGCAUUAGGGUCAACCACUUUACAUGGCCUGCCCCGUGGCCGCUUGUCUAGUACCCUCAGUAUCUUGGGUGUCUUAGAGCCUGAUCCUUUGGGCCUUCCCUUUCCCCUCUUAGGUGGUAUGGGGUUGCCAUUAGACAAGGCUUCACCUAACUCCUCAUCACUACCAGUAUCAGAGGCAAUUAUCUGUCCUUUUUCCGACACUGUUGCCUCUUCUUCCGACACUGUUGCCCUUUCUUCAGACAUUGUUGCCCCUUCCAUCAUCUGUUUUCUUGCUACCUGGCUCCUUCGUUCUUUCCUUCCAGCUCACUUUCUUGGAGGACUAGUGAACUACUUAGGGCUUCCCACUGUAAAACACACAUCUCGAGAAAGUUACAAAACAAACAAAUGUUCUUUGUGCACCCCUUCAUUGCUUCAUAAAACUGACCUACAUGGGCACGAGAAAGUGUAGCUAACAUGUAUUGCAACAUGCACAGCCUAAACACAGAUUUUAUGUUUACUGAUUUUUCAUUUAUGUAUAUGCUAAGGUGCACAAUACUAACAAAAUCUGAUAUGAACGUCUCCAUGACAUCCCUAAUUAAGGUUGCUGCAUUGAAGCGAUUCUGAAAACUAGCUAGCUAGUAUCCUGAAUCGGUGAUUGUUUUGGUUAGUAGUAGUUAGCUAACUUUACCAGCUGUUCGAAGAAACAUAAUAUUAAUCUUUUAGGACAGGGUUUCCCACACUCUGUCCUACCCACCCCUGGGUGCACGUUUUGUUUUUUCCCUAAGCACUACAUAGCUGAUUAAAAUAAUCAAAGUUUGAUGAUGAAUUGGAUAUAUGAAUCAAAUGGGUAGUGCUUGCGCAAAAACAAAAACGUGCACACAGGGGGAGGGAGGGCCCAGGUCCGAGUUUGGGAAACCCUGUUCGAGAAGUAACUAGUUAACUAAAUGGACCUGAAAAUAAACUAGCUAAUUUGCUAACUGCGUAUAAUCGCCAGCUAUUUCGCUAGGUAGCUACCUAGAUAGUUAUCGUGACAAAGCCACCUAACUAGCUAGCUAGUUAAAUAAUGGUUAAAUAAAAUAAAAGCUAUCAAGCAGUAGCACGAACGCUUGCGACAGCCAUGGAUAGCAAGCUAGCUAGCUAGCUCACGCCGUUAGCUUGCUAGCGAAGCUAGUUUAAUGAAAAU